RNAcentral lists this non-coding RNA (29 nucleotides) under Rattus norvegicus (Norway rat). The record is from RNAcentral. Lineage: Eukaryota; Metazoa; Chordata; Mammalia; Rodentia; Muridae.
UUAAUAAGGAAGUUUUGGAUCCUAUAGCC